This 253-nucleotide ribosomal RNA is filed under the name uncultured bacterium. RNAcentral describes it as "partial 16S ribosomal RNA". It matches the Rfam family "Bacterial small subunit ribosomal RNA", at positions 524 to 776 of the family's 1533-position model. The record is from RNAcentral.
UACGUAGGUGGCAAGCGUUGUCCGGAUUUACUGGGUGUAAAGGGCGUGUAGCCGGGCUGACAAGUCAGAUGUGAAAUCCGGGGGCUCAACCCCCGAACUGCAUUUGAAACUGUUGGUCUUGAGUAUCGGAGAGGCAAGCGGAAUUCCUAGUGUAGCGGUGAAAUGCGUAGAUAUUAGGAAGAACACCAGUGGCGAAGGCGGCUUGCUGGACAGUAACUGACGUUGAGGCUCGAAAGCGUGGGGAGCAAACAGG